GGCGUGGUAGCUCAGCCGGUUAGAGCGAACGACUCAUAAUCGUUAGGUCGGUGGUUCAAGUCCACCUCACGCCACCA
This 77-nucleotide transfer RNA is filed under the name Paracoccaceae bacterium. RNAcentral describes it as "Rhodobacteraceae bacterium (stromatolite metagenome) tRNA-Met". It matches the Rfam family "tRNA". From Rfam's summary of the family: Transfer RNA (tRNA) molecules are approximately 80 nucleotides in length. Their secondary structure includes four short double-helical elements and three loops (D, anti-codon, and T loops). Further hydrogen bonds mediate the characteristic L-shaped molecular structure. tRNAs have two regions of fundamental functional importance: the anti-codon, which is responsible for specific mRNA codon recognition, and the 3' end, to which the tRNAs corresponding amino acid is attached (by aminoacyl-tRNA synthetases). tRNAs cope with the degeneracy of the genetic code in two manners: having more than one tRNA (with a specific anti-codon) for a particular amino acid; and 'wobble' base-pairing, i.e. permitting non-standard base-pairing at the 3rd anti-codon position. Lineage: Bacteria; Pseudomonadati; Pseudomonadota; Alphaproteobacteria; Rhodobacterales; Paracoccaceae. The record is from RNAcentral.